GCCCCGGUAGCUCAGCAGGCAGAGCGUCCGCCUCGUAAGCGGAAGGUCGCCGGAUCGUGUCCGGCCCGGGGCUCGA
Molecule: transfer RNA, 76 nt
Filed under: Bifidobacterium longum subsp. infantis ATCC 15697 = JCM 1222 = DSM 20088
Lineage: Bacteria; Bacillati; Actinomycetota; Actinomycetes; Bifidobacteriales; Bifidobacteriaceae
Description: tRNA-Thr
Rfam family: tRNA
About the family: Transfer RNA (tRNA) molecules are approximately 80 nucleotides in length.
Source: RNAcentral